This 66-nucleotide transfer RNA is filed under the name Phylloscopus collybita (eurasian chiffchaff). RNAcentral's name for it is "tRNA-Ser". Lineage: Eukaryota; Metazoa; Chordata; Aves; Passeriformes; Phylloscopidae. The record is from RNAcentral.
GAGGGGAGGUUGAACCAACAAGAACUGCUAAUUCUCGCAUCUGAGCAUAAACCCUCAGUCCCCUUA